ACCAGCUGGAAGGGCUGCAGCAAGUCUAGGACACUGUGACGCAGAGUGCAGCCUUCAGAACGGAAGACCUGCAAGAGGACUCCAGUGCAACACAUCUGCUCUUCCACUUCAAUGAGACAAAUGUCAGAUUAGCUGCCGUCAGCAGCUUGCAGCAAACUCAGGGUGAUCAAGGAAGUGAAGUCAUAAGUCCCUGUACAGAGGAGGUGAAAUGCCACAUUCUUCCAGGAGGCCCAUCUGUAUCCAGAUCCCCUGAAAGCUACUCAGAAACCUUCAAAGGACCAUCAGAACGCACUUUGAGAACCACUGUGAUGGAUAAGCCUUCAGAGGCGUUUCCCUGCGAUUCCCACUGCACUCUAAUCCACUGGCUUUCCGCACAAGGGCAGCUCCAACAAGGAACCCAACCAGAGUUGAGGGAAAUUCAAGUUUGGGCAGUUGACCAGAGGUGCUGACUGGGUCCACGGCAGCUGCAUUCUUCAGGACCUGCACUGGCCGUCAUCAUUCCAGGACACAAGAAAGACCCCGCCAGACUGUCCCCGAUGGAAGUUUGGCUGUGGUCACCAUGCAUUGCCUCCUAUAGAGCCUGCCUAUUUUCCAUGUCUGAUUCUUCAGCUCUUCUGGCAAUUCUGUAAAUUACCCAAAAUCCUUUCAAUAAAAUCUAUUUAUGAUUAAA
RNAcentral lists this long non-coding RNA (670 nucleotides) under Homo sapiens (human). RNAcentral describes it as "HSALNT0324341". The record is from RNAcentral. Lineage: Eukaryota; Metazoa; Chordata; Mammalia; Primates; Hominidae.